UACGUAGGGGGCAAGCGUUGUCCGGAAUCAUUGGGCGUAAAGAGCGUGUAGGCGGUCCGGUAAGUCGGUUGUGAAAGUCCAGGGCUCAACCCUGGGAUGCCGAUCGAUACUGUCGGACUAGAGUUCGGAAGAGGCGAGUGGAAUUCCCGGUGUAGCGGUGAAAUGCGCAGAUAUCGGGAGGAACACCAAUUGCGAAGGCAGCUCGCUGGGACGUUACUGACGCUGAGACGCGAAAGCGUGGGGAGCAAACAGG
Molecule: ribosomal RNA, 253 nt
Filed under: uncultured bacterium
Lineage: Bacteria
Description: partial 16S ribosomal RNA
Rfam family: Bacterial small subunit ribosomal RNA
Source: RNAcentral